UGCCAGCCGCCGCGGUAAUACGGAGGAGGUUAGCGUUGUUCGGAUUUACUGGGCGUAAAGAGCAUGUAGGCGGAUUGGACAGUUGGAGGUGAAAUCCCGGAGCUCAACUCCGGAACUGCCUUCAAUACUUCCAGUCUAGAAUCUGUAAGGGGGUGGUGGAAUUCCGAGUGUAGAGGUGAAAUUCGUAGAUAUUCGGAAGAACACCAGUGGCGAAGGCGACUCACUGGCACAUUUCUGACGCUGAGGCGCGAAAGCGUGGGGAGCAAACAGGAUUAGAUA
RNAcentral lists this ribosomal RNA (279 nucleotides) under uncultured bacterium. RNAcentral describes it as "partial 16S ribosomal RNA". It matches the Rfam family "Bacterial small subunit ribosomal RNA", at positions 506 to 784 of the family's 1533-position model. The record is from RNAcentral.